RNAcentral lists this transfer RNA (82 nucleotides) under Fusarium acuminatum CS5907. Its description in RNAcentral is "tRNA-Gly". Lineage: Eukaryota; Fungi; Ascomycota; Sordariomycetes; Hypocreales; Nectriaceae. The record is from RNAcentral.
UGCGUAAACAGAGAAUCGAACUCUGGGCUCCCCGACGCUGCUCGAAUGGCAACGGAGAAUUUUACCACUAAACCAUUUACGC